Heterocephalus glaber (naked mole-rat) is the source of this 1564-nucleotide long non-coding RNA. NCBI's taxonomy places the organism in Eukaryota, Metazoa, Chordata, Mammalia, Rodentia, Bathyergidae. The record is from Ensembl.
GGAGAGCUCAAGCAGAGCAGGAGCCUAGUGGCUGAGGUGCCACCGAGGCUGGGGACUGAACCCAGAUCUCCAGGCCGAGUCUCACUGCGCCUGCUGCACCGAUCUCUGCGCUUGCUCCUGCGAGGCGCCGCACUGCCUCAGCCGCCGCCCCGGAGGUAAGCGGGCCAGGGUUGUCAGGGAUGGAUGGGGGUCCCGCGUCCCCGCACGACUCCUGCUGGUCCCCCUUGUCGUGCCGUCCGCUUGUCCGUGUGUCCAUGAGUCUGCCGCUGUCCUCUGCGGGUCUCCCUGAACCCGGGGGUUCGGUGCGCGCGGCAGUGUAGGGGCGCGGGGUCCCCAGCAGCGUGGACCCCUGGGGAAGGCCCUGCCUGCCUAGUUCCCUUCGGAAGGAGGCCCAGGGCUGGUCCGCCCGAGCCCGGCGAGGGGCCGCGGGUGCGCACCGGAGCGUGGCUGCAACAGGUCUGCUCCCCGCUCGAGCUCCGCGCCGUCCCCUGGGGUCCCCUCCGCCUCUCCGCGCCGCGCGAGCACCACAGGACGUCGAUGGCCUUGGGGCCCCUGCUGAUACUCAAGCUGCCACCCUAAGACUGGCAGCGGAGAAGGCUCGGAGGUCGCUGGCAGAGACCGGUCGGCUCAAGUGGGUGGCCUCGGGUGAAGCGGAAGGACAGCGUCCUGGCGGGGCGCAGCCAGGGUCGUGGCCAGACUCCAGCUCCCCGCCCGGGGAACGAAGCCGGCGACGUUGUGGAAUGGUCCGGCGAGAAACGAGGAGGGUCCGGAGCGCACCGGCCACCCACCGGCGCCGAGGCUCGAGGCUCGGAGUCCUGCUCCUUGAGCAGCGCUGCGCAGUAGGGACUCCAUCUCCAUCUCUACUUUAUUUUCACAUUUGAGAACCUGUUGAUGGGAUGGAUGAAAAUGCUGAAGUUGAUCACAGUGCUGAGAAUAUUCUUGAAGAUAAAUGGAAGAACUGUUAUGUGCAACAAAUCGGUCAGCUGUCUUUUCUGCCUGUACCACUUGGAGGGAAAAAAAAUCAGAAGGACUCUUUGCUUCCUCCUUCUGGAAGGAGUUGAGCUAAAGGACAAUCAGAUUCUGGGGUCUUCCUGGGACUUUCUUCUACUGGUGACGUGACUGGAGCAGGAGGAAGACCCGAGCUCAUGCCUGAGCUGAAGUCUUGCCUUUCUUCAGCAGAAUUGCAUGCAGAUUUCAGUUUCCAGCAUCCCUUGUGGCUUUCUGUGUGACUUAGCUCCUCCUUGUGGAUCACAUCCAGGACUGGAGAGUGCUUCAAGUGAACACGGCUGUGGUAGGGCUGUCUUUCACCCUGAAGAACUCUGCUUGACAACUUGGAACCCCAGAUGUGCUCCGCAGGAGACUGCCUGGAAAUGAACGAGCAGACUGUGGGUACUCUAGACAGACGUCCUUCUCACAGGCCUCUGGCCCGAGCUCUGAGUCCCACUUCUGUGUGUGAUAAGCCACCCAGACGUUUGUCAGUCUGAUCUGUUUAUCGAAAAAGCUACUGGGGCUCGAAAGCUCAGAGACACUCUGUCAGGAAUCAAUAAAACCAUGAGAUACUGCA